This 630-nucleotide ribosomal RNA is filed under the name Kocuria gwangalliensis. RNAcentral describes it as "bacterial SSU rRNA". It matches the Rfam family "Bacterial small subunit ribosomal RNA", at positions 111 to 752 of the family's 1533-position model. Lineage: Bacteria; Bacillati; Actinomycetota; Actinomycetes; Micrococcales; Micrococcaceae. The record is from RNAcentral.
UAAUACGUGAGUAACCUGCCCUUGACUCUGGGAUAAGCCUGGGAAACUGGGUCUAAUACUGGAUACUACGUGCCCUCGCAUGGGGGUGUGUGGAAAGGGUUUUACUGGUUUUGGAUGGGCUCACGGCCUAUCAGCUUGUUGGUGGGGUAAUGGCCUACCAAGGCGACGACGGGUAGCCGGCCUGAGAGGGUGACCGGCCACACUGGGACUGAGACACGGCCCAGACUCCUACGGGAGGCAGCAGUGGGGAAUAUUGCACAAUGGGCGAAAGCCUGAUGCAGCGACGCCGCGUGAGGGAUGACGGCCUUCGGGUUGUAAACCUCUUUCAGCACGGAAGAAGCGAAAGUGACGGUACGUGCAGAAGAAGCGCCGGCUAACUACGUGCCAGCAGCCGCGGUAAUACGUAGGGCGCAAGCGUUGUCCGGAAUUAUUGGGCGUAAAGAGCUCGUAGGCGGUUUGUCGCGUCUGCUGUGAAAGCCCGGGGCUUAACCCCGUGGUGUGCAGUGGGUACGGGCAGACUAGAGUGCAGUAGGGGAGACUGGAAUUCCUGGUGUAGCGGUGAAAUGCGCAGAUAUCAGGAGGAACACCGAUGGCGAAGGCAGGUCUCUGGGCUGUUACUGACGCUGAGGA